AACGCGAAGAACCUUACCUGGGCUCGAAAUGUAGAGGACGGUACUAGAGAUAGUACUUCUCGAAAGGGUCUCUAUAUAGGUGCUGCAUGGCUGUCGUCAGCUCGUGCCGUGAGGUGUUUGGUUAAGUCCAGCAACGAGCGCAACCCUUAUCGUUAGUUGCCAACGCGUGAAGGCGGGAACUCUAACGAGACUGCCUAGGUUAACUAGGAGGAAGGUGAGGAUGACGUCAAGUCCGCAUGGCCUUUAUGUCCAGGGCUACACACGUGCUACAAUGGUCGCCACAGAAGGCAGCGAAACCGCAAGGUGAAGCAAAUCCUAGAAAGGCGAUCUCAGUUCAGAUUGCAGUCUGCAACUCGGCUGCAUGAAGUUGGAAUUGCUAGUAAUGGCGUGUCAGCAACAACGCCGUGAAUACGUUCCCGGGCCUUGUACACACCGAGUAUA
This 441-nucleotide ribosomal RNA is filed under the name uncultured bacterium. RNAcentral's name for it is "bacterial SSU rRNA". It matches the Rfam family "Bacterial small subunit ribosomal RNA", at positions 958 to 1398 of the family's 1533-position model. The record is from RNAcentral.